CCUACGGGAGGCAGCAGUGAGGAAUAUUGGUCAAUGGCCGAGAGGCUGAACCAGCCAAGUCGCGGGAGGGAAGACGGCCCUACGGGUUGUAAACCUCUUUUGUCGGGGAGCAAAGCGAACCACGUGUGGUUCAUUGAGAGUACCCGAAGAAAAAGCAUCGGCUAACUCCGUGCCAGCAGCCGCGGUAAUACGGAGGAUGCGAGCGUUAUCCGGAUUUAGUGGGUUUAAAGGGUGCGCAGGCGGAGGUGCAAGUCAGCGGUGAAAUUGCGGGGCUCAACCCCGUACUGCCGUUGAAACUGCAUCCCUUGAGUGCGCGAGAAGUAUGCGGAAUGCGUGGUGUAGCGGUGAAAUGCAUAGAUAUCACGAAGAACCCCGAUUGCGAAGGCAGCCUGCCGCAGCGUUACUGACGCUGAAGCUCGAAAGCGCGGGUAUCGAACAGGAUUAGAUACCCCAGUAGUC
Molecule: ribosomal RNA, 459 nt
Filed under: uncultured bacterium
Lineage: Bacteria
Description: partial 16S ribosomal RNA
Rfam family: Bacterial small subunit ribosomal RNA
Source: RNAcentral